UACUUUUAAAUAGUUCCUUCCCCUGUGCAUUCCAACCUCAUUUUUCUUUCACUUCAGAUAAUGUUCUGCUUUGACAAAUUAGUGAAAUAAGCUUAGGAAAUGUUGCUGUUAUGUGGUGGUUUGAAACUCUGCUCCUCUCAUUUGUUGGCACCUCGCCUUGCCAGUCAUAGUAAUGCUUGUCCAUUAGCUGUAUUUCCCACAGCAUGCUGAAUGGAACUAAAGCUGUUUUGUUUGUAGCUUUUAUUUCUUGAAAAGUUGCCCACCAGAUUUCAGAUUUAAUGCCAGCCACCAGGAUGUGUUUUUAAAUAUCCAUGGCUCCAGCCUGAUAAACUACGGAAGAAUCUCGCCUGACGAAACCUGGCCUCUGUCUGUGCUAACAAACAACCACACUUCUAAAUCCCAUAUAACUUCAGGAUUUGCUCUAACUUCCACUCUUUCCCUUCAGGGGAAGGGAACAGUUUCACUUAAAAAACAAUUUGAACUGACCCCUAUUCUAGAUCAAUUUGCAAUGCAUUGAGGUAUUAAAUGCAUUGCACUUGAUUUAUAGCCCUGUUUACUCUGCAUCACCAAACCCUAGUGGGAUUCAGAGAGAAGCUGACCACAGCUGAAAAUACCCAGAUCUGGCUCACCUGAGGAGAGCUCCUAUUUGUAUUGAAAAAAUAUGAAAUUUCAAGAGUUUAAAACUUUCUUUAACAUGGACUUCUAAGAGAAUCAGAUUGAUGUUCAGAACUCCAGAGAUGGUGAUGUGUCCCUUUAAUUUACAAGGCUGAUAAUCUGAAGAAAACUUGCUCUCCCAGCCAACCCACAAGUACUGAGUGUUUGUGUACUUAACACUGUACAAGGUGCUUUACACAAAAUAAAUACUUUUCCUGACCCCUAAAUUA
This is a long non-coding RNA of Leopardus geoffroyi (Geoffroy's cat), 884 nucleotides long. RefSeq lists it as uncharacterized. The record is from RefSeq and is a predicted model, not a curated record. The transcript is spliced from 2 exons. Lineage: Eukaryota; Metazoa; Chordata; Mammalia; Carnivora; Felidae.